RNAcentral lists this ribosomal RNA (1488 nucleotides) under uncultured bacterium. RNAcentral's name for it is "bacterial SSU rRNA". It matches the Rfam family "Bacterial small subunit ribosomal RNA". The record is from RNAcentral.
GAGAGUUUGAUCCUGGCUCAGGAUGAACGCUAGCGACAGGCUUAACACAUGCAAGUCGAGGGGCAGCACAGGUAGCAAUACCGGGUGGCGACCGGCGCACGGGUGAGUAACGCGUAUGCAACUUACCUAUCAGAGGGGGAUAACCCGGCGAAAGUCGGACUAAUACCGCAUGAAGCAGGGGCCCCGCAUGGGGAUAUUUGCUAAAGAUUCAUCGCUGAUAGAUAGGCAUGCGUUCCAUUAGGCAGUUGGCGGGGUAACGGCCCACCAAACCGACGAUGGAUAGGGGUUCUGAGAGGAAGGUCCCCCACAUUGGUACUGAGACACGGACCAAACUCCUACGGGAGGCAGCAGUGAGGAAUAUUGGUCAAUGGGCGUAAGCCUGAACCAGCCAAGUCGCGUGAGGGAUGAAGGUUCUAUGGAUCGUAAACCUCUUUUAUAAGGGAAUAAAGUGCGGGACGUGUCCCGUUUUGUAUGUACCUUAUGAAUAAGGAUCGGCUAACUCCGUGCCAGCAGCCGCGGUAAUACGGAGGAUCCGAGCGUUAUCCGGAUUUAUUGGGUUUAAAGGGUGCGUAGGCGGCCUUUUAAGUCAGCGGUGAAAGUCUGUGGCUCAACCAUAGAAUUGCCGUUGAAACUGGGGGGCUUGAGUAUGUUUGAGGCAGGCGGAAUGCGUGGUGUAGCGGUGAAAUGCUUAGAUAUCACGCAGAACCCCGAUUGCGAAGGCAGCCUGCCAAGCCAUGACUGACGCUGAUGCACGAAAGCGUGGGGAUCAAACAGGAUUAGAUACCCUGGUAGUCCACGCAGUAAACGAUGAUCACUAGCUGUUUGCGAUACAGUGUAAGCGGCACAGCGAAAGCGUUAAGUGAUCCACCUGGGGAGUACGCCGGCAACGGUGAAACUCAAAGGAAUUGACGGGGGCCCGCACAAGCGGAGGAACAUGUGGUUUAAUUCGAUGAUACGCGAGGAACCUUACCCGGGUUUGAACGCAUUUCGACCGCUCUGGAAACAGAGCCUCUAGCAAUAGCGAUUUGCGAGGUGCUGCAUGGUUGUCGUCAGCUCGUGCCGUGAGGUGUCGGCUUAAGUGCCAUAACGAGCGCAACCCUUGCCACUAGUUACUAACAGGUGAUGCUGAGGACUCUGGUGGGACUGCCAGCGUAAGCUGCGAGGAAGGCGGGGAUGACGUCAAAUCAGCACGGCCCUUACAUCCGGGGCGACACACGUGUUACAAUGGCGUGGACAAAGGGAAGCCACCUGGCGACAGGGAGCGAAUCCCCAAACCACGUCUCAGUUCGGAUCGAAGUCUGCAACCCGACUCCGUGAAGCUGGAUUCGCUAGUAAUCGCGCAUCAGCCAUGGCGCGGUGAAUACGUUCCCGGGCCUUGUACACACCGCCCGUCAAGCCAUGGGAGCCGGGGGUACCUGAAGUCCGUAACCGCGAGGAUCGGCCUAGGGUAAAACUGGUGACUGGGGCUAAGUCGUAACAAGGUAGCCG